This is a long non-coding RNA of Drosophila yakuba, 2540 nucleotides long. RefSeq lists it as uncharacterized. The record is from RefSeq and is a predicted model, not a curated record. NCBI's taxonomy places the organism in Eukaryota, Metazoa, Arthropoda, Insecta, Diptera, Drosophilidae. The transcript has 3 exons.
GAAAAAUCAGUCCUUAGGUUGUUCUCCAUAUAAAGCUCUGCUUGGCUUCAACAUGAUUAACCAUGGGACCGAUUAUAAGCUCUUGAAACAAUUAUCUCUACUAGAGGAACAUAGUCGCUUGAAUAGAGUGGGCCAAUUAGCAUUAUUACGGAAAGACAUAAAAUAGAAUAACGAAUGUUAAGCAAUACAACCUAAGAUCUAACCCUGUUGUAUAUAGAGAAGGACAAGAAGUCUUUAAGCGAAACUUUCACUUAAGCAAUUUUAGUCAGAAUUACAAUAAGAAGUUAGGCCAUCAAUUUUCAAAGUGUAGAACUAAAAAGAAAUUAGGUAAUGCGUUUUAUCUAUUACAAACGUUAACAGAAAAAGAAAUCGGAACACAUCACGCAAAAGAUAUACGAAGCUAAUUCCAGCUAAUCUGUCUGCGAUUACUCGUCGGAUUAUCUGUGGUUGUAAUGGUUGGCCUUGGAGAAAAUUAAUUAAAGUUCAAAAGAAUAUUUAAAAUUACGGCUUACGCGCCCUACGAUAUUCGAACAAUCAGGCGAUCAAGGUUGCCAUCUGAUCCUCGCAAUCGAUUUAUCGAUUAUAAAAAACUAUCUUUUCCGACCCAAGCCGCGUGUGUCCCGAAAAAGUGCAUAGAAACUUUAGAAAAAUCUAACGGCAUCCGCGACCUAAUCAGCUAAUUUAGCUAACAGGCGCACACCCGCCAAUCCCGAGCUAAAAAAGGCCCAAUACCGCGUGCUAUCACGGCUGGCUGCUCCGGCAUUACCUUACAUAAAGGCCUUAGGAUUAAAUUCAACUAUAUCAGUCAAACAUAGGGCAGCUCUACCUCCCAUUUUCAUCAUCGUCGUUCCUCCAUAAAAAGGCCCCGUUCAAGCCUUACAAAAGGGCUAGCAAAAACCCUUUCGACCCAGCAGCUAUUUUUAGCGCGGUCGAAGCAACACAAUUCAAUCUUUAACAUCGUCGUCUGUUGUUGUUAUCCUACCCGCGCUAUUCAAGGCGGCUGAGCAGCGCGAAGGUAAGAUCAACGCCCACAACUCCGACGAGGGAGGAAUCUUCGCCAGGUCAGGAUCGACAAAUACUUAAAAACGAAGAUAAACCCCUCUGCUAUUUGUCUAAAAAUUGACACUUUUGUUGAAAAAAAAAAAUUUUGAAGUUAAAGUUUUUCUAAAAGGAUGAGCUGGUAAGGAGACUGAUAGAAGACAGCGAAAGGCAAAACAUAGGCCUACUAAUAGGCUGUGAUGCUAACGGGAAUUGGAAAGUACAGACACAAACGACCACGGUGAGUCUCUUUUUAACUUUAUCUUUAGUUCAAAUCUCUUCAUAUGUAAUAAAGGUAAUGACCCCACUUUUACCAUUAAGAACCUCUCGUCUCUAAACUACUAUUAGAGACAGUAACUCACUAGAGGGUGCUAGGUAAGCACUUUUUCUCGGACCACAGGUAUAUAGAAACGACCCUCACAACCAACCCAUCAAAACCAGCAGUUUUUAUGAACCCAAGGAAAACAGACUGGCAAAAAUACAAAAAUAUUUUAAAGGAAAAAAUCCCAAUGGAUCGCCCUCCAUACCCUCAAACAAUUUCUAGUCUAAACGAACUAGUUUCUAUUUUCACAGAAACCUGCAACUAUACACUAAAAAGGCCUAGAUACUCGUAAAAUGAUUCCUGCUUUCGCUUUUUUCGAUCACGGAGCUGCUCAAGAACAUUUGCGCUGCAGAUUCAUACCAAUGCUUGACUGGUAUGGAUUCACCGUCAAACUCAGGAAUGAUUUUUCAAAGCUUUCCGCCGUAACUGAGCAACUAUUAUUGCUUUUAUCGUCGAAUCCUCUUUUUCCGGCGAGCAGUUUUCAGUAGCCCCAACUGCUGCAUUGGAGGGCGCUCCACUUGCUUCUUCAAGCUUCUGAUUGUCGUUAUCCAAAUCCGUCAUUUUACGAUUUUUCACUGCAGCAGCCACUGACCUUGUAUAGUACGGCUGACAUCCUUUCGCAAACGGAAUUCUAGAAAAUUCUUGCUUUAUUGUCUUCUCACUUACCGUUAUUCUUUCCCGCUUCUUGUUUCUUUUAAGACCUCGGGACCGCGUGAUCACUUGCACUUUUCAGACUAGGACGAGCUAAAUUAUUAUUAUCAUCUCGAUUUAUUAUAUCGUAUAAGUAUUAAUAUAUUGUUGGAAAUGUUCGGCUCUUUUUGCUUUCUUAACUUUUUCUGCUUCGGCGUCACUUCCCUGUCUCUGCUGAUUCCUCCUUCUUAUCUCGCUUCCUCUUGCUUCCGCGUUGCCACCCUUUUUUUCCCAUGUACGCGCGUCAUAUACUCUUCAGCUGCUGCUGUUAAUGUUAAAAUUCUUAAUCCUCUGCUGAUAUUCUGAUGUUUUUUCUGCUAGUACUCUGCGGCAUUUUCUGCUGGUAAUCUUCUGCUUUUCUGCUGCCUUCCUGCUGCCUUUCUGGUGACGCUCCGCUGCUUCACCAUCUUACAUAUAUGUAUGUUACUUGUUUAGUCAACUGCUAUAUACAUAAUGUAUCAUACAUGUAUAUAUUUAGAUAAGAUAUAUA